This 1024-nucleotide ribosomal RNA is filed under the name uncultured euryarchaeote. RNAcentral describes it as "bacterial SSU rRNA". It matches the Rfam family "Archaeal small subunit ribosomal RNA", at positions 6 to 1038 of the family's 1478-position model. Lineage: Archaea; Methanobacteriati; Methanobacteriota. The record is from RNAcentral.
GGUUGAUCCUGCCAGAGGUCACUGCUAUCGGGGUUCGAUUAAGCCAUGCGAGUCGAGAGGGUUCGGCCCUCGGCGUACUGCUCAGUAACACGUGGAUAACCUGCCCUAGGGAAGGGGAUAACCCCGGGAAACUGGGGAUAAUACCCUAUAGAUUACAGAUGCUGGAAUGCCCUGUAAUCCAAAGUUCCGACGCCCUAGGAUGGAUCUGCGGCCGAUUAGGUUGUUGUUGGGGUAAUGGCCCAACAAGCCCGUAAUCGGUACGGGUUGUGGGAGCAAGAGCCCGGAGUUGGAUUCUGAGACACGAAUCCAGGCCCUACGGGGCGCAGCAGGCGCGAAAACUUUACAAUGCGGGCAACCGUGAUAAGGGAACCUCGAGUGCCUGUAAAUGCAGGCUGUUCAGGUGCCUAAAACACACCUGAAGAAAGGGCCGGGCAAGACCGGUGCCAGCCGCCGCGGUAAUACCGGCGGCUCGAGUGGUGGCCGCUUUUAUUGGGCUUAAAGCGUUCGUAGCUGGGUUGUUAAGUCUCUUGGGAAAUCUGGCGGCUUAACCGUCAGGCGUCUAAGGGAUACUGGCAAUCUUGGAACCGGGAGAGGUGAGGGGUACUUCGGGGGUAGGAGUGAAAUCCUGUAAUCCUCGAGGGACCACCUGUGGCGAAGGCGCCUCACCAGAACGGCUUCGACAGUGAGGGACGAAAGCUGGGGGAGCAAACCGGAUUAGAUACCCGGGUAGUCCCAGCCGUAAACUAUGCGCGUUAGGUGUAUCGGUGACCACGAGUUACCGAGGUGCCGAAGGGAAACCGUGAAACGUGCCGCCUGGGAAGUACGGUCGCAAGGCUGAAACUUAAAGGAAUUGGCGGGGGAGCACCACAACAGGUGGAGCCUGCGGUUUAAUUGGACUCAACGCCGGGAAGCUCACCGGAUAAGACAGCAGAAUGAUUGCCGGGCUGAAGACUCUGCAUGACUAGCUGAGAGGAGGUGCAUGGCCGUCGUCAGUUCGUACUGUGAAGCAUCCUGUUAAGUCAGG